Oryzias latipes (Japanese medaka) is the source of this 1462-nucleotide long non-coding RNA. RefSeq lists it as uncharacterized. The record is from RefSeq and is a predicted model, not a curated record. Lineage: Eukaryota; Metazoa; Chordata; Actinopteri; Beloniformes; Adrianichthyidae.
AUGUGUGCAGAAUAUGAACUGGAAACCCCAAGGUCAAAAUGGGAAACACCUCCGAAGGUGGUAGAGAAUGAGAACCAGACAUUGUACGGUUGAUGUCCAGCUCCUCUGAAAAUGGAGAAUGUGAAAACUUGUCAAGGACUUUUGAAACAAAAAGGAGCAGAAUCAAUAGCCGGAUUCUUCAGCUAUGACCUAGUUGUUCAAAAAUGCCUUUAGCUGGGUUCGGUUUUACGUCUGUGUUGAUCCCAGUCCCUCUGGGUGUGUCUAUGAAGCCAGAAAUGAAAGGAAUGAAGCAAAGACCAGUUUCUGUCCAACCUGUUGGAGAACGGGGGGGAGCUUCAUAGAAAUGAACUGACAGAGAGAGAGGGAGUGUUGACUGGUAGAACAGGUUUAGGUGAGGUGGUCAAGUGAGCUUGAAGCAGACCAGGGAGCGAGCUGCCGUGUCAUUGUUUCAACACAGAGAGGAAGAGAAAACCGCAAAGAGGACUCUCGGCGGGAAGAGAAGCUGACUGUGGACAGGUUGACGGUCCUGCUUCCUAUUUCCGCCUUUCCUGCUGUGGUUGGUUCACUGACUGGACUCUGCUCCGCCUCCACAAUGUCAUCAAACAUCAAUGUCUCUCUGGAUAAUCCAUAUGGUCAGGUGACUAUCCCGAGGGCAAAGCUCCGCCCCUCUGAUGGGGGCAGUACAGUAAUAGCAAAUCCAACAGCUCUCAGCAGCAAUGAUACAUCUUACACAUUUUCAAGCUCCGCCCACAAGGAUUCAUAUAUGGUGAAGGAAGAUGAAGGUGUGGAAGAGGAGAAAAGGGGCUGUUGCUACCGCUGCAGGAGGAGGAAGUGACAUCACUGCGGCAGUGAUGCAGGGACUGGAUCCAUGUUAUUUUCCUACGGAAAGAGAGUUCAAAAGCCAGAGGGGAACAACACGAAGGGCAGGACGCUACAUCACGAGGCCAUUUUGUUUCUGCAAUCAACUUGAGCAAACCAUGGUCAUGAGCGAGGCGUAGUCCAGCUGAGAAGAAGUCCUGUCAAACAACGCUGGAACCAGUUUUAGAGUCAAAAGUUUCAAAGUGACCACAACUAUCUUCCCCUGAACCUCUGUAACCUCUGACCUCUGCUUCUCUGCUGGAGACUCCACCCCUUUCACAAGUUCUACUAAAAUAAUGGGCGCUCAGAACUGCAGGACCUGGAUACCUGACUGGUCAUGGGGUGAUGGUUCUUCUAGAACGUUCUGACAAAUCAAUAAAAGUUUGAGACACACAAUGGCUGCCCUUGACACCGUCUAAGUUUCUUGCCACCAUUGUUGCCAUCAGCUAAGGUGCACAUCCCAUGAAGCGGCAGCCUCAGUAAACUCUGAGCAGUAUGUGUGUAUUUGUUGCAUGUCUGAUCUUGUUCGGGUUGUACUAGAACACAUCUCGUAUGUAAGUGUAAAAGCUGUACAUAUGACAAUAAAAGGAUUCUGAUUCUGAUA